RNAcentral lists this ribosomal RNA (506 nucleotides) under uncultured bacterium. Its description in RNAcentral is "partial 16S ribosomal RNA". It matches the Rfam family "Bacterial small subunit ribosomal RNA", at positions 29 to 523 of the family's 1533-position model. The record is from RNAcentral.
AGUGAACGCUGGCGGUAGGCCUAACACAUGCAAGUCGAACGGCAGCACAGGAGAGCUUGCUCUCUGGGUGGCGAGUGGCGGACGGGUGAGGAAUACAUCGGAAUCUACUCUGUCGUGGGGGAUAACGUAGGGAAACUUACGCUAAUACCGCAUACGACCUACGGGUGAAAGCAGGGGAUCUUCGGACCUUGCGCGAUUGAAUGAGCCGAUGUCGGAUUAGCUAGUUGGCGGGGUAAAGGCCCACCAAGGCGACGAUCCGUAGCUGGUCUGAGAGGAUGAUCAGCCACACUGGAACUGAGACACGGUCCAGACUCCUACGGGAGGCAGCAGUGGGGAAUAUUGGACAAUGGGCGCAAGCCUGAUCCAGCCAUACCGCGUGGGUGAAGAAGGCCUUCGGGUUGUAAAGCCCUUUUGUUGGGAAAGAAAUCCAGCUGGCUAAUACCCGGUUGGGAUGACGGUACCCAAAGAAUAAGCACCGGCUAACUUCGUGCCAGCCGCCGCGGUAA